UUGCUUGGGCAGCAUAGAUUCUAAAACUGGAAUGAUAAAGAGAAGAUUAGCAGGGCCCCUUGCACAUGGAUGAUAUGCAAAUUUGUGAAGCAUUCCAUGUUAAA
This is a small nuclear RNA of Gracilinanus agilis (Agile Gracile Mouse Opossum), 104 nucleotides long. Lineage: Eukaryota; Metazoa; Chordata; Mammalia; Didelphimorphia; Didelphidae. The record is from RefSeq and is a predicted model, not a curated record.